UGGAGCUCAAAAGAGUAUCCUGCAAAACCCCCUUCUGGAUGGUCAGGUUUUGGUCGCCCUAAUCGAUGCUUGGGUUGGAACAGGACGGCCAUUAUUCAAGGCCUUCAAUAGAGCUUCUUCUUUGGUAAAAUUAUUUACACAAAUGCUGAUUCAACACAGUGCAGUUCAAGGUGGACAGGGCAUGGUGACGAAUUGGAAUGCUUAUGGACUAUGCUCACGGAGGAUUGCAAUUGCUGCAGGUUGCUUAUUUGGCAUUCAGUGCAAAUAUCUCCUUCUGUCGACAUGCUGCCUGAGACUCUAGUUCCUCAAUUUGCAGUUUUGCAGCGAACAGCUCUUCAACCUUUCAUUCCAUCAUUCAAUAUUCCUUCAAACUGAAUAUUCAAUACACCCAAUCCAAUAGGUACUAAUGGACGCAGGACUAAUCCAUGGCCAUUUCCUUAAAGUGAGGCUUGUAAUGCAAUUGUGCAUCCCCUGAACACCGGAAAUGCAGAAAAGUAUGAUGAGCACCCACAUAAA
This is a long non-coding RNA of Lathyrus oleraceus (garden pea), 516 nucleotides long. RefSeq lists it as uncharacterized. The transcript is spliced from 4 exons. The record is from RefSeq and is a predicted model, not a curated record. NCBI's taxonomy places the organism in Eukaryota, Viridiplantae, Streptophyta, Magnoliopsida, Fabales, Fabaceae.